GCCUUCGGGCGGUUAUUUUUGGGCACAGCUGUUCCUGCGGCCUAUUUUUGGCACACGGAGUUGCCUCGCAAAGUCUCGCUCCAUUCCGAGGCCGGCGGACGAAGUUGGCCAGCCCCACCCCCCAAGGCUAUAGCCCACCCGUUUUUGUGGCCUUUUUCCGAUGGACGAACUUGGCGCCCCGGCUUUCGGGCGGUUAUUUUUGGGCACGGCUGUGCCCGCGGCCUAUUUUUGGAAAACGGAGGUGCCUCGCAAAGUCUCGCGCCAUUCCAAGUCCGGCGGACGAAGUUGGCCAGCCCCACCCCCCAAGGCUAUAGCCAACCCGUUUUUGUGGCCUUUUUCCGCUGGACAAACUUGGCGCCCCGGCUUUCGGGCGGUUAUUUUUGGGCGUGACUGUGCCCGCAGCCUAUUUUUGGCACACGGAGGCACCUCACAAAGUCUCGCGCCAUUCCGAGUCCGGCGGACGAAGUUGGCUAGCACCACCCCCAAAGGCUAUAGCCCGCCCGUUUUUGUGGGCUUUUUCCGCUGGACGAACUUGGCGCCCCGGCCUUCGGGCGGUUAUUUUUGGGCAAGGCUUUGCCCGCGGCCUAUUUUUGGCACACGGAGGCCCCUCGCAAAGUCUCGCGGCAUUCCGAGUCCGGCGGACGAAGUUGGCCAGCCCCACCCCCCAAGGCUAUAGCCCACCCGUUUUUGUGGCCUUUUUCCGCUGGACGAACUUGGCGCCCCGGCUUUCGGGCGGUUAUUUUGGGCGCGACGGUGCCUGCGGCCUAUUUUUGGCACACGGAGGCGNNNNNNNNNNNNNNNNNNNNNNNNNNNNNNNNNNNNNNNNNNNNNNNNNNNNNNNNNNNNNNNNNNNNNNNNNNNNNNNNNNNNNNNNNNNNNNNNNNNNNNNNNNNNNNNNNNNNNNNNNNNNNNNNNNNNNNNNNNNNNNNNNNNNNGCCUGCGGCCUAUUUUUGGCACACGGAGGCGCCUCACAAAGUCUCGCGCCAUUCCGAGUCCGGCGGACGAAGUUGGCCAGCACCACCCCCCAAGGCUAUAGCCCGCCCGUUUUUGUGGGCUUUUUCCGCUGGACGAACUUGGCGCCCCGGCCUGCGGGCGGUUGUUUUUGGGCACGGCUGUUCCCGCGGCCUAUUUUUGGCACACAGAGGUGCCUCGCAAAGUCUCGCUCCAUUCCGAGUCCGGCGGUCGAAGUUGGCCAGCCCCACCCCCCAAGGCUAUAGCCAACCCGUUUUUGUGGCCUUUUUCCGCUGGACAAACUUGGCGCCCCGGCUUUCGGGCGGUUAUUUUUGGGCGCGACUGUGCCCGCAGCCUAUUUUUGGCACACGGAGGCACCUCACAAAGUCUCGCGCCAUUCCGAGUCCGGCGGACGAAGUUGGCUAGCACCACCCCCAAAGGCUAUAGCCCGCCCGUUUUUGUGGCCUUUUUCCGCUGGACGAACUUGGCGCCCCGGCUUUCGGGCAGUUAUUUUUGGGCGCGACGGUGUCUGCGGCCUAAUUUUGGCACACGGAGGCACCUCACAAAGUCUCGCGCCAUUCCGAGUCCGGCGGACGAAGUUGGCCAGCCCCACCCCCCAAGGCUAUAGCCCACCCGUUUUUGUGGCCUUUUUCCGCUGGACGAACUUGGCGCCCCGGCCUUCGGGCGGUUAUUUUUGGGCAAGGCUUUGCCCGCGGCCUAUUUUUGGCACACGGAGGCCCCUCGCAAAGUCUCGCGGCAUUCCGAGUCCGGCGGACGAAGUUGGCCAGCCCCACCCCCCAAGGCUAUAGCCCACCCGUUUUUGUGGCCUUUUUCCGCUGAACGAACUUGGCGCCCCGGCCUUCGGGCGGUUAUUUUUGGACGUGGCUUGGUCCGCGGCCUAUUUUUGGCACACGGAUGCCACUCGUAAAGUCUCGCGGCAUUCCGAGUCCGGCGGACGAAGUAGGCCAGCCCCACCCCCCAAGGCUAUAGCCCACCCAUUUUUGUGGCCUUUUUCUGCUGGACGAACUUGGCGCCCCGGCCUUCGGGCGGUUAUUUUUGGGCGCGGCAUUGCCUGCGGCCUAUUUUUGGCACGCGGAGGCCCCUCGCAAAGUCUCGCGGCAUUCCGAGUCCGGCAGACGAAGUUGGCCAGCCCCACCCCCCAAGGCUAUAGCCCACCCGUUUUUGUGGCCUUUUUCCGCUGGACGAACUUGGCGCCCCGGCCUUCUGGCGGUUAUUUUUGGGCGCGGCUUUGCCCGUGGCCUAUUUUUGGCACACGGAGGCCCCUCGCAACGUCUCGCGGCAUUUCGAGUCCUGCGGACGAAGUUGACCAGCCCCACCCCCCAAGGCUAUAGCCCACCCGUUUUUGUGGCCUUUUUCCGCUGGACGAACUUGGCGCCCCGGCCUUCUGGCGGUUAUUUUUGGGCGCGGCUUUGCCCGUGGCUUAUUUUUGGCACACGGAGGCCCCUCGCAAUGUCUCGCGGCAUUUCGAGUCCGGCGGAAGAAGUUGGCCAGCCCCACCCCCCAAGCCUAUAGCCCACCCUUUUUUGUGGCCUUUUACCGCUGGACGAACUUGGCGCCCCGGCCUUCGGGCAGUUAUUUUUGGGUGCGGCUUUGCCCGCGGCCGAUUUUUGGCACACGGAGGCCCCUCGUAAACUCUCGCGGCAUUCCGAGCCCGGCGGAUGAAGUGGGCCAGCCUCACCCCCCAAGGCUAUAGCCCACCCGUUUUUGUGGCCUUUUUCCGCUGGACGAACUUGGCGCCCCGGCCUUCGGGCGGUUAUUUUUGGGCGCGGCUUUGUCCGCGGCCUUUUUUUGGCACACGGAGGCCCCUCGCAAAGUCUCGCGGAAUUCCGAGUUCGGCGGACGAAGUUGACCAGCCCCACCCCCCAAGGCUAUAGCCCACCCGUUUUUGUGGCCUUUUUCCGCUGGACGAACUUGGCGCCCCGGCCUUCGGGGGCUUAUUUUUGGGGGCAGCUUUGUUCGCGGCCUAUUUUUGGCACACGGAGGCCGCUCGCAAAGUCUCGCGGUAUUCCGAGUCCGGCGGACG
This 2995-nucleotide long non-coding RNA is filed under the name Citrus x clementina. RNAcentral describes it as "Citrus clementina (C. clementina) long non-coding RNA (CCLE_LNC006329)". The record is from RNAcentral. Lineage: Eukaryota; Viridiplantae; Streptophyta; Magnoliopsida; Sapindales; Rutaceae.